RNAcentral lists this long non-coding RNA (3283 nucleotides) under Nicotiana tabacum (common tobacco). Its description in RNAcentral is "long non-coding RNA (NTAB_LNC000770)". The record is from RNAcentral. Lineage: Eukaryota; Viridiplantae; Streptophyta; Magnoliopsida; Solanales; Solanaceae.
AAUGGUAAACAUAAGUAAAAUUGUUUAAUUAUUGAAUGAUUAAUCUCAAAUUACUAAUGCUCAAAUGUUAGAGUAACAAAAGUAAGCGAAUCUUAUAAUCUAGUUUGACCUUUUAACUACAAGUCUUGGUUUCUUAUGUUUCCUAAACAAUCAAAAUAACAAAACAAUAUCCAAUAGUAAUGUUAGUUUCAAAGACAUACACAUAAUCAACAAAUAGCAAUAGCUAAUAUUAAAAAAUGAGAGGAGGGGAGAUUUUAACUCUUGAUAUUGGGCUCGUUAGUAGUCAAGCUCAUCCGGAUUCAAACAAGCAGCAGACUCAACAAGUGCAGAGGAAGUGACCCAGACCUGGAACUUGGGUUUGAUUUCCAAAGGAACUUGCCAGACUCAAUUCGGACAUGCAUACAAAAGAAAAGAAGAUAAUUAGUGGAGAUCAAUUUAAGGUGAAAUAAGAUAAAGUCAUAACGACUAAUAAUAAUAAAGACACUCAAGAAUACAGUAAAAUUAGCUUUAUUUGUACCAACCCUAUGAGUAUUAAUUAAAGUCAAUGACCAAAGGCUUGGAGUAAACCUCAUUUUAUGGAUAAAGUCCCCUAUGGACCCCUGAUACUUCAGAGUUCACAAGGGUCACAUAGACCCCAAGUAAAGCUUUCGUCAGGGAGGGGUAGCUCAACCACAAAUCAAGCUCAUACCUAAAUACCCUUGAUUAUCAACUCUCACUCUUCCUAAAAGGUUUGGACACAAAUAUAAUGUCAACUUAGUAGUUUCACAUUGUUAGAAGUAAAUACAUAGCCACAUUAGACAUUGCAAUUAUCAUUAGAGCAUAAUCAGCUAAGAAGCAACACAAUAUUGACCUUAGGACAUCUUAUCAGAAUAAUAAGUACAAAGAUAAAUCAUUGUAGGUAGAUUUAUAGGGUUCCAAUAACAUCAAAGACCUUAAGGCUGAUCAUAGUAUGCAUCAGAACACUUAAGAGGAUCAUUAAUAAAAUGCGGUCAUAGAACAAAGAGAGCUAGUUGCAUAUUAUCAGUAGAUAGGUGUUAUCUUUAACCACUUCAAGUUCAUAGAUGCCUUAUUUAUGUGAUCUAAGCAUCAGUAAGUGACAAAGAACGAUAUGUUCACAGCUUUAUUAAUUCUAUUGAAGGUUCAGCAUUUCAGGAUCCUUGAAUAUGUUCAUGCCACUUAAAACAGGUCAGCAUGCAUUUCAAUAAUCUUCAGAACAGUCUAGAGCAAGCAUGCAUAUGUGUGUGUGUGUAUAUAUAUAUAUAACUGAGACCCCUACUACACUAGACACUUAUAUUAACAACCGUGUUCAGGCUUCCCAAAUUAUCAAUCCGCUAAACCAGCAGAGAUAUCAAUGCAUGUAGGAAAGUUAGUUUUAAUUUUGUUUGGACCUAACGAGGAUGAUAUCUAGUUGUGAUAAUGUAUAGUCUAACAGUUUUUCAAUUUGCAAGAUCCAAAUAUCACUCCAGUUCAUGAUUAAGUUCUUCUAUACAUAGUGAUGUCAACUGACACGAGUCAGUAAGUAGAGAUGUUCAUUCUCAUUUGAUUCAAGCAGGACAAUCAGAUCACAACAAGUUCAUUUACACAUGUAAGUAAUUUUACUAACAAGUUACACCAACAAACCAUUUUGGAUCCUACUGGCAUAGUACAUGUUCAACAUCAUUCAAUCAAGCUAUUAGGUUACCAGAGUGAACAAUUACCCAUAUUGACAAAAGAAGUCUUCUCAAAUAGUGUCUUAGACACCACAUGAUCAUGAAAGAUCCAAAAACAUAAAUGGUCAAAACCAAACAGAUAGAUGAAUGUAGAUCAUCAUUUAGUAGGACUACUGUGGCACCCUAAGUUAAGAUGUACCCACACCUUCACUAAAUUAUUAUGAUGACAUCCAAACCAUUAUCAAUAUAGACCAAGCAUGACUACGAUCUAAGGUUCUUUAGCUAAACAAUCGGAUAAUCAUAAUGAGAUAGGCACUACCAUUAGGGUAGAUUAACAGGAGGCUGCAAGAAAAUCAACAUGGUAACUUAAACAUAAAGUUCUCUUAGAUAAGGGCAUGCAAUGGUUCCUAAGCACUACUGGAUCAGCAAAAACAAUAUGAUAAGUGUAUAUAUAAGCAUAGAGGUCAAGCAGGAGUCAUUCAAUCAAUGCAAUAGUAUAAGUCACAUAUAGCUACUAACACGGAGCUCAAACAGUCAUGAGAUAGUGAAUGAUGAUAGGAAGUGGACAAGUUUAGUGAUAGCUAUGCUAACAAGUUCACCACAUAAUUUAAAACUAUAGUGAUAAACAUCCAUGAAUCACUUAUCAACAACAAGAUUGUUAGCUAAGGUCAGUAAAGCAGACAUAUCAAAUAUAAGACAGGAUUUGCAAUGAGAAUCAUUCAUUGGACCAAGACAAGGAAACUCAACUUCAUAGGCAUGAAGAUCAAGAUAACAUAUUACUGGAGAUAUGAAACCUUAACAGGACAUUAGGAAGAAUUCAAGAACAUAAUUCAAUUGAUUUAGCUGACAUGAUAGUGUUCAUACGGCAGUCAUCAAACUAAUAGGGGUGAAUCAAACAUAAAAUCAACAUAAGGGUCAAUUCAACUAAUCAUGGAAGACUUAGCAGGAUUUAUCCAUUAGAAUAGCAUCGGUGUAGAAAUAUCUUAACUAACUAAAUCAUGAGAAGUAAAAUUCAAUAACCAUAACAGAUUAAGUAACAUAGUACAACUAUCAUGAAAUGUCAUUAAUCACAUGAAUAGCUAGACAUAAUGAAAGCCUCGUAUUAUUAUGAACAAACAAGUGAUUAUUGACAGAUGAUGAUAACAAGAAAGUAAAAAUCAGAAGAAAAAGAGGGGAAACCAUUGUAAGAUUUUUACCUUAGCCCGAUGGGAGGAGAAGGUCAACCAUUGGAGUACUGAAGAAAUAUCGGUUAGAGCUCCAUAUCCUAAGGUCACGGUGUUUGACCUCUGGACAACAUAUGAUGAUUAUGAGGUAGAAGACAUGGUCAUGCAUGCUUCGAUUUGAUCGGAUAGGGGGAUGAUGAAUAAAAUCCCAGAUUGCACUUUUUAGGUCUAGGGUUCUGGGGUUUGUGAUUUGAAUCGGAGUGAUGAGAAAGGAAAGGAAUCGGCAAGAUUCGCGGUUAGAAGGGACAGAAGGGGUGAUUUGGGUUUGAUUUUGUGCAAGGUUUUGGAUUGAUGGGUUUGCAGGGUUUGAGAGAACAGGGGAAGAAAUAGGAAAUGAGGACGGCCACUUGGUGAUAGAAUGAUUAGAGUUAGAGGCAUCUCUAAGGUUAAAAACAAGAGAUGCAAUGUGAG